Molecule: long non-coding RNA, 444 nt
Filed under: Anas platyrhynchos platyrhynchos (common mallard)
Lineage: Eukaryota; Metazoa; Chordata; Aves; Anseriformes; Anatidae
Description: lncRNA (ENSAPLG00000031188.1)
Source: RNAcentral
AUGCAAGGUCUUAGCAGGCUGAUGCUGAUGCAAGGAUCUCCAGCAACCACAAGUAUGGUCCAUGAUGCUGAAGAAGGUUCUCACACCACCUUUGUUUCCAAGGAACAAGGUUCGUCACCAAUUCCUUACGAUAUUAUCAUGGUGUCUCUCAGUGGCAGCCUGUUACUGUUGGUUGUGAUCAGCAUAGCAGUGAAAGUUCUCCUGAGGCACUGCACCUCACAUCAUUCCUCCAAAGAUCUCGGUGCACCUACAGUGGUCCUGGAAAAUACUGCAGUAACGAACAUCUCUGAUAAGAUUUCAACAGUGGAUUUGACCGGCCCAGUGUGUAGCAGUGACGGCCCCCAGCUUCUCUCGUCAGCAGCUUUCUUCUGGAGAGAAAAGUGCACAAAGAGCUUAGGGGUGUGUGACGGACGGAUGUGCCCCACUUCCCUUCCAACACCAUAG